UCUGCUGCUAUGAAUGAGGCUUAAGAAAAGCUGUCUUUGGAUUUUGCUCCUAAGAGUCAUCUUCAUCACUCCUGCACGCGAGCACGCGCUCUCUCUCUCUCUCUCCUUUUCUCAGUUCCCUUAUGAAAUAAGGGCACACAGGUAAUAAACAAAGCACUAUAAAAGAUCAGAUUGAGGUAUUCUGUCGGCUCAUUCAAUGUCGGGAGCGGGCACUCGGCACACCAGCGCUGGGUGCUUUUAGCUUCAGGAGCGGGUUGGAAAGUGAGGGAGAGAUGGCACGUCUCGCCCCCUUUCUCUAACCUGGCUGAAUUUAUCAAGACCGUAUCCUUGGUCCACCGCACCACACCCGCCGGCGCCUGAGGGACAGAGGGGAACAUGGCAGAGCAGCUCCCCUUGGAUGCUGCUCCGUUGGAUUCUUGGAGCUUGACCUGACUUUCUCUGUCCAUCCUCUUGCCAGAUCCAGGGGGUGGCACUCUUGGAAACCUCCAAAAACAGCUUCAAGAGUCAAAACCCAGUGGUGCCUCCAGCUGGAAAAUGUAUGCCCAAUGGAAGACUCCUGUAGCAUCUCACACACUGUGAGCCUAAGACGGGUACCUAAUUCUUAGAGUCGAAUGGCAUGGCAGCCCUUUUUCUCCAUGAAAGAAAACACCCUGGGAGAUGUGGUCAAAGGAGGAGACUCGACGGCCUUUUCGUUUUCCUUCAUUUUUUUCAAAGAAGCCAAACGAGAACCUUAAGCGGCUGCUCCAGACAACAGUGUUCAUCGCAGGACUUGCCAAGACUGGGUGGAGAGGUUUUUACACCUAAGUCACUCAGCUCCUCCUUUGGCAGCCUCGGUCCCGAGCGUGAAUGUGAGGAUGCUGUGGCCUUUCGCCCUCGGCAUCACUGGCAUCACCACAGACGGUGCGGGGCGCUCUGUCCGCAGCAAGACCUCGCAAACGGAGGAAAAGUCAAGGGAGAGACGGUCCGCAGGGCCUUCUCUCGCCUGCCACAAACUGGCGUCAUUUUGGCUGCCAUCCCGGGGAGGAAAAGCCAGCCUCCAGAAACAGGGACGGACGAUCGGGAGCUGAUGUGAGAAAGCCGAUGUUGCUGUCCUCAGAAUGGGACAGGAAAACUGAGCAGGAAUGAACACAAGCGAAGAGUCCGCGGGAGUGCUUUUAGAGGAAGUCAAUCUAUGGGUGUUUCCAAGAAAGGAAGACGGAAUUCAGCGGGGCGCAUCAGAAAGAAAAAGAAUUAUGUCCACCAUUCUCCCAAAUGAUCUGCUAAAUGCAAAGACGCACACACACCCCCUUCUUGUUUUAUCGAUUCCUGCAUCAGUGGGCACGUUUGAUGAGGGUUUGUGUUCUUUCAUUUAUGUUCUAUUACCCCAACUCCAACCACGUGUGCACAGGCAGGCACACACGUGGACACACACUCUUGUGUGAGCAUGUGCUGCCCCCCCCCACACCCUGCAGCCUAUAAUCCUCCCCUACGCCCCUAUCCUGUUGAUCUUUCUUCAUUUAAAAAUUAUCAGCAAAGAAUUUAUUCAUUUGGGAGAAUUCCAGGCACUACACUUACGUUCAGUUCCAAUGAAAUGGGAUCCAGACUUUGCAAACUCUGCUGUUUUGCAGAUAAAACACAAAGGUGGGACCUCGUUGUUUGGAGACAUGGCCUUUUGUUUCUAAGCCAUUUUAAGCUUGCUUGGGAAGGCUCAUUACUGGGCCGAACAUUUUUCACCACAUCUAUUUCAGGAGGGUUUUUAGUUAAGAAUAAUGAAUUUAUCUCUAAACAGAUGGAAGAGUUUUACAAAGCUAGAAAAGACACUUUUGCUAAUAUCCCCUAUAGGCUGGUCUUAAUCCUCUCAUUGUUCAAAAUGCUUGGUCUAUGAGAGACUUAUUUAUGUGCCAAAUGUCUUUAUUAAAUCAUUAUAUUAACACAGAAAACAAUCCUAUUACAAUGUUUCUCUGUGUGAUCAAAAGUUAUCCGCAGUCCUGUUGAUAGCCUAUUUAUUCCAAAAUUCAAAAAGGUAAAAAUUCCAGUAGAGCCCAAUAUUUGGCCAAAUGUUUCAAAAUUCACUGUAAUUUGGCUGGAGGGGUUACUAGGUCCUAGCCAGGGAAAGACUUAAGUUUUAUCAAGGCAGUCAUCCCCAACAAAAAGAAAACUGAAAAAUAGGCCUUCCAUUCACCCAGAGAAAUGGAUUCUUGGCAACAAUGUACUAUGAUUUGACCUGUAGAGACACAAUGAGUCUAUGAUAUCCACUUUGAUUAAAAAAACAAACAAAAAAACCCAAACAGGAGUUCCCAUUGUGGAUCAGUGGGUUAUGA
This is a long non-coding RNA of Phacochoerus africanus (Common warthog), 2300 nucleotides long. RefSeq lists it as uncharacterized. The record is from RefSeq and is a predicted model, not a curated record. The transcript is spliced from 3 exons. NCBI's taxonomy places the organism in Eukaryota, Metazoa, Chordata, Mammalia, Artiodactyla, Suidae.